CAGACUAAUGGGUGAGGAGAACGAGGAAGUUAUUAUCUAUUGUUACAGAUAAAAAAACAAUUUAAGAUUAUUUUUAGCUUCUAAUUAUUUUAAAAAGCUGAAAGAAACAUAAAGGAAAGUAAAAAUAAAUCUGUCAAAAAAAUUGUAACAAACGAAGACUCCAUAGCCAACUGCUUCAGCUACGUUUGCAAUUUGGCGAUGACAUCAUCCGUUCUGAAACGCCUCGUCUAUUCCAAUUCCAUUUGGCAACGCUUCUUAAGGUCACCAAUCAACAUCCCUCUUUCUCUCUCUGUUACUGAAUCGAAUUUAAACUUCACAGGGAGGGUUCAAGUUUCUCGACUUUGAUGCACACGCUUGCUUCUCCAGAAACUCACAGGUGGUUGUUUCCCCUUAAUGAAAUGACUUCAGUAUUUCAAGGUGAUAUGCAAGGGGAGCAAAAGGUUUUAGUUACCUCCAGCUGCGAUCACUCCAUUGUCUGUGGUGGAAGGGUCUUGUUAGGGAAUGACUGGCUUAGGAGGACCAACACCUCCAGAGAAUAAGGAGAAUUAGAGAAGAACAGAGUCAGAGGAAUUUCCAGCUUUUUCAUAUCUCUGCUUUUGUUAUUUACAGGAAGCAUCAAGCAAGAAGAUUUGAAGAUGAGCUGGCAAUUCCAUUUCCUUUGUCGCUAUCCUCAGACGAAGUCAUUCAAGGACGGAAGGAACAGGGAAUGGUCGGGUUGUGGUUGAGGGGAAGAAAAUGGGGAAGGACGGUGGAGGAGUUCAUCGAGUUUCAGAUUCAUGGUUUGCAUGGUGUCAGUGAGGCGGGUAAGGAUGGCCUCAAGGUUACCCGAGGUGGUAUCAUGCGGAGAGGGACCAGACAUGGAGGCACGAAACGAGAGCACCAAUGUUAGGGAAUGACUGGCUUAGGAGGACCAGCACCUCUAGAGAAUAAGGAGAAUUAGAGAAGAACAGAGUCAGAGGAAUUUCCAGCUUUUUCAUAUCUUUGCUUUUGUUAUUUACAGGUAGGCAGCAUCAAGCAGGAAGAUUUGUGGAAGAUUUGAAGAUGAGCUGGCAAUUCCAUUUCCUUUGUCGCUAUCCUCAGACGAAGUCAUUCAAAUAAGUGGGCUUCUUGAUCCUCUGUUUGGGCUUUGCUUCUUUUGGCACCACCUCAUCUGCGAAUUCCUUCUUUGCUGUUGCUAUGUCGUUACUGCCCUCUUGUGCUUGAGCUUCUGUGUUCGUAUCAGGUGUUCUUAUUAGGAAAUGUGGAAAGGAGAAAGGAGAGUGAAAACUGAAAGUGAUGGAAAUAUUAUAAUUUCCCCAUUUUAAUGCUUGAUAGAGAGGUUGGAUAAUGAUAUGUGUGCGAAGUAUGUUUAUCCCUCUUUUAUUUUGCGAUCAAAAGUAAAAUAAAUAGACAAAUACUUGAAGUUGUUUUAUGCUACGAUUCAAUUUUCUAUUCCUUGUGCUGUAUUCUAGUAUGUUCAGGAUUCUAGCAAAAAAAAAAAAGGUACAUCAAUUUGUUCACUUGUGCUUGCUCCUUGGAAACAGUAUUUUCUUUUGACAAAUUUCGCUUGGAUGCACUUUAGCAAGAUGAACCUUGACGCUAUCAAGGCAAGUUGUUCUUUAUUUUGUUCCUAUUUUUAUGCUGACUUUGUUUUCAUCUUUUCUUUUAUGUAUUGGCAAGUGGAGGAAAAGAUGGUACCGUUUGACUAUGGUCCCUUGGCUCAAGUGGCAAAUGAGGACAUCGUGCUUUGAAGGCUACACUCUGUGGGCAUGAAAAACCUGUAAAUUUGAUCUCAGUUGCCGGGGUUAGAGGUCACAAUGGCCCUGUGGUGUUCCUAUCGAAUAAAUUAUUGGAAGAGGAUAACAGAGCAAAGCAUUGGCAAGUGGAGGAGAAGAUGGUACUGUUCGUUGUUCGACUAUGGUCCCUUAGCUCAAGUGGCAGACAUGAUCAGCGUGCUUUGAAGGCUACACUCUAUGGGCAUGAAAACCUGUAAAAUUUGUUGUCAGUUGCCGGGUGUGUAGUGUUAUGGCUUAUGAGGUUUUGUUAAGUAGAGAACAACUAGCACAGCAAAACUUAUGAGGUUAUGGACUUAAUGCUAAAGCCAUAAGAGGGUAAUGUAGCAGAAAAAUUGGCAGUGCACAUAGUAGACGUUGCAGACACAAAAGUUUAAAGAAAAGCAAGAUGUGUCAUACAAAAUUUUCCUCAUUAUGUCAUUAUUGGUAACUACUGAUGUCAUGCAGAUUAUAUACCGGUUUUUACUUUUUUGCGUAAUAUUAUAGUUCAUGUUCUAUGUUUUAGGAUAAUUUGAUCCCAAAAGGGCAUCAUGUGCUUAUCUUUUGUUAGACUCGCAAAAUGCUUAAUCUUAUUCAGGUUGGUU
Molecule: long non-coding RNA, 2356 nt
Organism: Glycine soja
Lineage: Eukaryota; Viridiplantae; Streptophyta; Magnoliopsida; Fabales; Fabaceae
Exons: 8
Source: RefSeq, a predicted model, not a curated record